Molecule: long non-coding RNA, 561 nt
Filed under: Helianthus annuus (common sunflower)
Lineage: Eukaryota; Viridiplantae; Streptophyta; Magnoliopsida; Asterales; Asteraceae
Description: sRNA HanXRQr2_Chr02g0050951
Source: RNAcentral
UUACUUGGCGAGAGCAUCUGGCGUGUGCAUGAUGAUUACCCUGUUGAAGCUCCAAAGAAGAAUGUCUAUUUUUCAAAACAAACCGUUAUGACUUGAACCCAUCUUGACCCGGACCCAUUCUAACAAGUUACCUGACCGACCUGCUUGUUUUUCCAGAUGUAAACGGGUCAAACUUAGAUCCAUUUACCUUUGGCUUUACGUUUCUUGGGGAAUUCGGAUGUAGUGGAGUCUUGCAUUAGAUGUACACACACAUCAGCAGUGCCUGUCUCUCAAUAUCAUGGAAGUAAAAUGAUUUUUUUUUGUUUUUUAAGGUUAUGUAAAAUUUGAGGCUUGUAAGCUGAUUUUUUUUUCUGCAAAUAAGUGGUAGAAUGUUGUGCUUGGAAUCCUAUCUUUAGAUUAAAAAAGAAAAAAAGAAAAAAAAAGUCUCUAAUUGCUAGCAACAGACUCACAAACACAACAAAUAUAAUUUGCUUAAAUGAAAUGAUUUUCACAAACACAAAACAAAUAUAAUUUACUUAAAUGAAAUGAUUUUCGUUAUUUAUUUAUUUAUUUAUUUUUUCU